RNAcentral lists this ribosomal RNA (492 nucleotides) under uncultured bacterium. Its description in RNAcentral is "partial 16S ribosomal RNA". It matches the Rfam family "Bacterial small subunit ribosomal RNA", at positions 29 to 507 of the family's 1533-position model. The record is from RNAcentral.
AGUGAACGCUGGCGGUAGACCUAACACAUGCAAGUCGAACGGCAGCACAGUAAGAGCUUGCUCUUACGGGUGGCGAGUGGCGGACGGGUGAGGAAUACAUCGGAAUCUACUUUUUCGUGGGGGAUAACGUAGGGAAACUUACGCUAAUACCGCAUACGCCCUACGGGUGAAAGCAGGGGAUCUUCGGACCUUGCGCGAUUGAAUGAGCGGAUGUGGGAUUAGCUAGUUGGGGGGGUAAAGGCCUACCAAGGCGACGAUCCGUAGCUGGUCUGAGAGGAUGAUCGGCCACACUGGAACUGAGACACGGUCCAGACUCCUACGGGAGGCAGCAGUGGGGAAUAUUGGGCAAUGGGCGCAAGCCUGACGCAGCCAUACCGCGUGGGUGAAGAAGGCCUUCGGGUCGUAAAGCCCUUUUGUUGGGAAAGAAAAGCAGUAGAAUAAUACGCCGCUGUUCUGACGGUACCCAAAGAAUAAGCACCGGCUAACUACGUG